This 118-nucleotide microRNA precursor is filed under the name Sorex araneus (European shrew). Its description in RNAcentral is "miRNA (ENSSARG00000017163.1)". The record is from RNAcentral. Lineage: Eukaryota; Metazoa; Chordata; Mammalia; Eulipotyphla; Soricidae.
UCUGCACGUAUAUAUAUAUACAUAUACAUAUGUAUAUAUAUAUACAUAUGUAUAUAUAUACACAUAUGUAUAUAUACAUAUAUAUACACACACAUAUAUAUAGACAUAUAUAUAUAUA